Acinonyx jubatus (cheetah) is the source of this 864-nucleotide long non-coding RNA. RefSeq lists it as uncharacterized. NCBI's taxonomy places the organism in Eukaryota, Metazoa, Chordata, Mammalia, Carnivora, Felidae. The record is from RefSeq and is a predicted model, not a curated record. The transcript has 3 exons.
AGGGCCCGGCUUCAUUCACAGAAUCACUGGCUCACUGCUAGCCUUUCCAUUCACACAAACAGCAUCUCAUUCACAUUUUGCUGUUUUUGUCUGCUUCUAAUGAAGAGCGGGGUUUGGGAAUGAUAGGGCGCUUUUGCUUCAGAUUUGGGGGGUCUCUGCUGACCACCACAAUCGGCGAUGGGGUGUGCACUUGCCGUUGCUAAACGAACCAGGGGAAGGGCAAGAAUGAGUGCCCGCGCCCAGGGAGGGAAGCGGCGGCCGCCCUGCGUGCCUGCAUCCCAGCGGCCGGCCUCACCUGCCUGCCAGGAGCCGCCCCACCUGCACCUGCUCCAUAAAGCUCUGCAAGGCUGGGUGCCUCGUGUGGCACAUGCCUAGUCGUGGGUGUGAGAAGGCAGGGCGCUAGAGAAGGCAGGUGAAUUCAUUUGCUUGCACAGAGUUGCCUGGAAAUUUGGACAGGGAGGUUCCGCUGUGUCAGGGUUGCAAAGCAGCAACAGAAGACACACUGAAAUGUAUCUGUAGCGUUUGGUAGACAUUUUUCCAGACCUUGAGCGCAUUCAGUUGGGAUAAAGCGUCAAGCCCAGCCCCCUUUCUGGAAUGGAUUUCUGGAGCCGGCUGCCAUUCCUGAGAAGUCCUCUUCUUUUCUGGAAGAAGUGAUUUGCAGCGUUCCCUGGGCCUUUGUUGAGAAGGGUCUCCUCUGGAGUGAGUCACGCUCUCGCAGUGCGCAGCCCGAGCCGCGGGGCGCUCCCCUUCGGAAGCGAUGACUGGAGCAGCGCGAGCGUGCCGCCCUCCGCAGCCGAGCGCGGGGCCGGGGCUGCGCGGACGCGGCGGCGCGGGCCGCUAGCGGGGAGGCGGCGCCGCUGUUCC